RNAcentral lists this ribosomal RNA (450 nucleotides) under uncultured bacterium. RNAcentral describes it as "partial 16S ribosomal RNA". It matches the Rfam family "Bacterial small subunit ribosomal RNA", at positions 354 to 796 of the family's 1533-position model. The record is from RNAcentral.
GUGGGGAAUAUUGGACAAUGGGCGAAAGCCUGAUCCAGCCAUGCCGCGUGUGUGAAGAAGGUCUUCGGAUUGUAAAGCACUUUAAGUUGGGAGGAAGGGCAGUAAGCUAAUACCUUGCUGUUUUGACGUUACCGACAGAAUAAGCACCGGCUAACUCUGUGCCAGCAGCCGCGGUAAUACAGAGGGUGCAAGCGUUAAUCGGAAUUACUGGGCGUAAAGCGCGCGUAGGUGGUUCGUUAAGUUGGAUGUGAAAGCCCCGGGCUCAACCUGGGAACUGCAUCCAAAACUGGCGAGCUAGAGUACGGUAGAGGGUAGUGGAAUUUCCUGUGUAGCGGUGAAAUGCGUAGAUAUAGGAAGGAACACCAGUGGCGAAGGCGACUACCUGGACUGAUACUGACACUGAGGUGCGAAAGCGUGGGGAGCAAACAGGAUUAGAAACCCCAGUAGUCC